RNAcentral lists this ribosomal RNA (471 nucleotides) under uncultured organism. RNAcentral describes it as "partial 16S ribosomal RNA". It matches the Rfam family "Bacterial small subunit ribosomal RNA", at positions 333 to 800 of the family's 1533-position model. The record is from RNAcentral.
ACACUCCUACGGGAGGCGGCAGUGAGGAAUAUUGGACAAUGGGUGGAAGCCUGAUCCAGCCAUCCCGCGUGCAGGAAGACGGCCCUAUGGGUUGUAAACUGCUUUUAUCUGGGGAUAAACCUACUUACGUGUAAGUAGCUGAAGGUACCAGAAGAAUAAGCACCGGCUAACUCCGUGCCAGCAGCCGCGGUAAUACGGAGGGUGCAAGCGUUAUCCGGAUUUAUUGGGUUUAAAGGGUCCGUAGGCGGACUGAUAAGUCAGUGGUGAAAUCCGACAGCUUAACUGUCGAACUGCCAUUGAUACUGUUAGUCUUGAGUAAGGUUGAAGUGGCUGGAAUAAGUAGUGUAGCGGUGAAAUGCAUAGAUAUUACUUAGAACACCAAUUGCGAAGGCAGGUCACUAAGUCUUAACUGACGCUGAUGGACGAAAGCGUGGGGAGCGAACAGGAUUAGAAACCCCUGUAGUCCCAUGA